This 494-nucleotide ribosomal RNA is filed under the name uncultured bacterium. RNAcentral describes it as "partial 16S ribosomal RNA". It matches the Rfam family "Bacterial small subunit ribosomal RNA", at positions 28 to 507 of the family's 1533-position model. The record is from RNAcentral.
GACGAACGCUGGCGGCGUGCUUAACACAUGCAAGUCGAACGGUGAAGCGCCUUCCUUGUUGGUUGGUGUGGUUGAGAGGCGAACGGUAGAGUAACACGUGAGUAACCUGCCCUCUUCUUUUAGUUAAGCACAUGAAAGCUAGUCCAAUAUGGGAUCUCCUGGGUCUGGCGGAUGGUGGGUCUGGUAAAGCUGUUGGUUCUGUGCGGGCUGCGCUCGCGGUGUAUCAGGUUGUUGGUGGGGUGAUGGCCUAUCAAGGCGGUGACGGGUAGCAGGCCUGGGCGGGUAGACGGUCACAGUGGGACAGAGACACGGCCGAGACUGCUACGGGAGGCAGCAGUGGAGAAUAUUGCACAGUGGGCAAAAGUCUACUGCAGCCGCGCCGCGUGAGGGAUGGAGGCCUGCGGGUUGUGAACCUCUUUCGCUAGUGAAGCAGGCCUGCCUCGUUUGUGGGUGGGUUGACGGUAGCUGGAAAAGAAGCGCCGGCUAACUACGUG